GUGGAUUAGAUACCCUGGUAGUCCACGCCCUAAACGAUGUCAACUAGGUGUUGGUAGGGUAAAACCUAUUAGUACCGUAGCUAACGCGUGAAGUUGACCGCCUGGGGAGUACGGCCGCAAGGUUAAAACUCAAAGGAAUUGACGGGGACCCGCACAAGCGGUGGAUGAUGUGGAUUAAUUCGAUGCAACGCGAAAAACCUUACCUACCCUUGACAUGUCCAGAAUCCCCGAGAGAUUGGGGAGUGCCUUCGGGAACUGGAACACAGGUGCUGCAUGGCCGUCGCCAGCU
This 289-nucleotide ribosomal RNA is filed under the name uncultured bacterium. RNAcentral describes it as "partial 16S ribosomal RNA". It matches the Rfam family "Bacterial small subunit ribosomal RNA", at positions 773 to 1060 of the family's 1533-position model. The record is from RNAcentral.